GACUUGUGUGCGCCGGAUGCGGCGAUCUGCGGCCAAAAGGUCGUUGCGAUCAGCCCGUCCUGGCGCCGUAAAAUUUGCAACUGAGUCGCCUCUGGUCUUAAUUGGUCGGUGGCGUCUGCUCGGUUGCUCGUUUACUGUGAGAAAAUUGGAGUGUUCAAGGCAGGCGUGGAUUGCAACUGAACAUGUUAGCAUGGAAUAAUAAGAUAGGACUUUGGUUCUAUUUUGUUGGUUUCUAGGACUGAAGUAAUGAUUGAUAGGGACAGUUGGGGGUGCUAGUAUUUAACGGCCAGAGGUGAAAUUCUUGGAUUCGUUAAAGACUAACUUAUGCGAAAGCAUU
Molecule: ribosomal RNA, 337 nt
Filed under: uncultured Polymyxa
Lineage: Eukaryota; Endomyxa; Phytomyxea; Plasmodiophorida; Plasmodiophoridae
Description: SSU rRNA
Rfam family: Eukaryotic small subunit ribosomal RNA (bases 115-337)
Source: RNAcentral